CCACUACUCCUCUCCUGCCCCCUUCCCUCCAAAGAGUCCACAGCCACAUCUUCAGUGGCAUAUCGAGUUUUCAUUUUUGGACAAAGUGACAUUUAGCUUUAACAAGACAUUUCCAAAGCUCCUGGUCUCCUUUGAAAUGCUGACUUUAAAAGUUCAGCAUUGUUGCCAAGGAUGCGGGGGAGGGGCUAAUGAAAGAAAGACUUAGAUUAUGCAUGAAUGUGCACGCCCCGUCCCUCAGUUAUUCAAAUUUCAAAUGCCUUUGAGUUGCUUUUCAUAGAUGGGUUUAGUUUGCUCAUGUUAAGUAGUCUGUUACUGUAAUUUUUGUAGUAUUCUGGCUUUAAUUUCUACCACAAAUAUGCUAUGUACUAAGCUUUCUGUGAUCAGAAAGGAAAGGUGCCUUAAAUCCCAAUACCACGCCUCUAUCCCUAUGGAAAAUAUAUCAGAAGCACAGUGCCAGGAAGCAUUGGGACUUCCGUUGGCAAAAUAGGACACCAUUCAGCAAGACACAUCCAAGUGGCACGGGGCUGCUUUUGUUUGCUAAUUCCUUUUUUUUCUCCCAACCUAUAAUUAUCUUUUGUUUGUUGUUUAUUUUAUUUUUUUUUAUAGUUCGCUUUAAACAGGAAGCACUUAAUAGAUGGCUCUGUGUCAAAGCUCUGUGCAAUGGAAAUCAUGUUGCUUUUGUUUGGGGGGUUUGUUUUGUUUUUCUUUUCUUGUUUUAAAAAGAUAGCGUUAUUGCACACCAAAUGAACUCCUAAGUAAGCUUUAGAACCAGGAUCGAUUCAGGUCGUGGAUGGGUAUGUUCACUGUAGUUCUGUGUGUUCAUGAACCGACGGGCAAGCUGGCCUCCCUUGGCCACUGAGGCUCAGCCCUGAGCCCUGGGUCAUGGCUGCCUGGGUCCCAACGGGGAACCUUCCCGGAUGUCUGACCCCACAGUCGACCCUUGAAGCACUUAACCCUCUCUUUGUGGAGAUAGACCGACUGCUACUGAUCUGUCAGCGUACUCGAGGGUGAUUAUAAAAGGAUGUUUCUUUAAGAAAGAAAAGAUAUUUCUAUCCUCUUCUAAUUUAUUAUUAGGUUAAUCAUUUAAGUACUUAUCAGGAGUGUGU
RNAcentral lists this long non-coding RNA (1106 nucleotides) under Rattus norvegicus (Norway rat). RNAcentral's name for it is "long non-coding RNA NONRATT007382". Lineage: Eukaryota; Metazoa; Chordata; Mammalia; Rodentia; Muridae. The record is from RNAcentral.